GCGUAUGAUUAGAUAGUUGGUAGGGUAACGGCCUACCAAGUCAACGAUCAUUAGGGGUUCUGAGAGGAAGGUCCCCCACACUGGUACUGAGACACGGACCAGACUCCUACGGGAGGCAGCAGUGAGGAAUAUUGGUCAAUGGGCGAGAGCCUGAACCAGCCAAGUCGCGUGAAGGAAGAAGGUUCUAUGGAUUGUAAACUUCUUUUGUAAGGGAAUAAAAAGAGUUACGUGUAACUUAUUGUAUGUACUUUACGAAUAAGGAUCGGCUAACUCCGUGCCAGCAGCCGCGGUAAUACGGAGGAUCCAAGCGUUAUCCGGAUUUAUUGGGUUUAAAGGGUGCGUAGGCGGGCCCUUAAGUCAGUGGUGAAAGUUUGCAGCUUAACUGUAAAAUUGCCAUUGAAACUGAGGGUCUUGAGUGUAAAUAAGGUAGGCGGAAUGUGUUGUGUAGCGGUGAAAUGCUUAGAUAUAACACAGAACACCAAUUGCGAAGGCAGCUUACUGGGAUACAACUGACGCUGAGGCACGAAAGCGUGGGGAUCAAACAGGAUUAGAUACCCUGGUAGUCCACGCAGUAAACGAUGAAUACUAGCUGUAUGCGAUAUACUGUAUGUGGCACAGCGAAAGCGUUAA
This 630-nucleotide ribosomal RNA is filed under the name uncultured bacterium. RNAcentral's name for it is "bacterial SSU rRNA". It matches the Rfam family "Bacterial small subunit ribosomal RNA", at positions 233 to 863 of the family's 1533-position model. The record is from RNAcentral.